RNAcentral lists this ribosomal RNA (253 nucleotides) under uncultured bacterium. RNAcentral's name for it is "partial 16S ribosomal RNA". It matches the Rfam family "Bacterial small subunit ribosomal RNA", at positions 524 to 776 of the family's 1533-position model. The record is from RNAcentral.
GACAGAGGUGCCGAGCGUUAGGCGGAAUCACUGGGCUUAAAGCGUGUGUAGGCGGGCGGGCAAGUACCUUGUGAAAUCCCACGGCUCAACCGUGGAACGGCUGGGUAUACUGCCUGUCUUGAGCCAACUAGGGGCGAGCGGAACAGACGGUGGAGCGGUGAAAUGCGUAGAUAUCAUUUGGAACGCCAAUGGUGAAAACAGGUAGCUGGGAGUGUGCUGACACUGAGACACGAAAGCCAGGGGAGCAAACGGG